GACGAACGCUGGCGGCGUGCUUAAUACAUGCAAGUCAACUUGACUUUAGAUAGCAAUAUCGAAAAGUAGGGUGGCGCACGGGUGCGUAACGCGUAGGUAAUCUGCCCUGAGGUCUGACAUAACCCGUCGAAAGGCGGGCUAACAUCAGAUGAUAUAUAGUCACGACAUCGUGGAAAUAUCAAAUCUUCGGAGCCUUGGGAUGAGCCUGCGUCUGAUUAGGUAGUUGGCGGAGUAAUAGCCCACCAAGCCUACGAUCAGUAGCUGGUCUGAGAGGAUGAUCAGCCACACUGGAACUGAGACACGGUCCAGACUCCUACGGGAGGCAGCAGUAAGGAAUAUUGCUCAAU
Molecule: ribosomal RNA, 347 nt
Filed under: uncultured bacterium
Lineage: Bacteria
Description: bacterial SSU rRNA
Rfam family: Bacterial small subunit ribosomal RNA
Source: RNAcentral